UUGGAUCCAGACUUUGAUCAUGGCUCAGGAUGAACGCUAGCGACAGGCCUAACACAUGCAAGUCGAGGGGCAGCGGAGAGGUAGCAAUACCUUUGCCGGCGACCGGCGCACGGGUGAGUAACACGUAUGCAAUCCACCUGUAACAGGGGGAUAACCCGGAGAAAUCCGGACUAAUACCCCAUAAUAUGGGCUCUCCGCAUGGAGGGUUCAUUAAAGAGAGCAAUUUUGGUUACAGACGAGCAUGCGCUCCAUUAGCCAGUUGGCGGGGUAACGGCCCACCAAAGCGACGAUGGAUAGGGGUUCUGAGAGGAAGGUCCCCCACAUUGGAACUGAGACACGGUCCAAACUCCUACGGGAGGCAGCAGUGAGGAAUAUUGGUCAAUGGUCGGCAGACUGAACCAGCCAAGUCGCGUGAGGGAAGACGGCCCUACGGGUUGUAAACCUCUUUUGUCGGAGAGUAAAGUACGCUACGUGUAGUGUAUUGCAAGUAUCCGAAGAAAAAGCAUCGGCUAACUCCGUGCCAGCAGCCGCGGUAAUACGGAGGAUGCGAGCGUUAUCCGGAUUUAUUGGGUUUAAAGGGUGCGUAGGCGGCACGCCAAGUCAGCGGUGAAAUUUCCGGGCUCAACCCGGAGUGUGCCGUUGAAACUGGCGAGCUAGAGUACACAAGAGGCAGGCGGAAUGCGUGGUGUAGCGGUGAAAUGCAUAGAUAUCACGCAGAACCCCGAUUGCGAAGGCAGCCUGCUAGGGUGAAACAGACGCUGAGGCACGAAAGCGUGGGUAUCGAACAGGAUUAGAUACCCUGGUAGUCCACGCAGUAAACGAUGAAUACUAACUGUUUGUGAUACAAUGUAAGCGGUACAGCGAAAGCGUUAAGUAA
Molecule: ribosomal RNA, 877 nt
Filed under: uncultured organism
Description: bacterial SSU rRNA
Rfam family: Bacterial small subunit ribosomal RNA
Source: RNAcentral